RNAcentral lists this ribosomal RNA (742 nucleotides) under uncultured Bacilli bacterium. RNAcentral describes it as "bacterial SSU rRNA". It matches the Rfam family "Bacterial small subunit ribosomal RNA", at positions 33 to 731 of the family's 1533-position model. The record is from RNAcentral. Lineage: Bacteria; Bacillati; Bacillota; Bacilli.
ACGCCGGCGGUGUGCCUAAUACAUGCAAGUCGAACGCGUUGGCCCAACUGAUUGAACGUGCUUGCACGGACUUGACGUUGGUUUACCAGCGAGUGGCGGACGGGUGAGUAACACGUAGGUAACCUGCCCCAAAGCGGGGGAUAACAUUUGGAAACAGAUGCUAAUACCGCAUAACAAUUUGAAUCGAAUGAUUCAAAUUUAAAAGAUGGCUUCGGCUAUCACUUUGGGAUGGACCUGCGGCGCAUUAGCUUGUUGGUAGGGUAACGGCCUACCAAGGCUGUGAUGCGUAGCCGAGUUGAGAGACUGAUCGGCCACAAUGGAACUGAGACACGGUCCAUACUCCUACGGGAGGCAGCAGUAGGGAAUCUUCCACAAUGGGCGCAAGCCUGAUGGAGCAACACCGCGUGAGUGAAGAAGGGUUUCGGCUCGUAAAGCUCUGUUGUUAGAGAAGAACGUGCGUGAGAGCAACUGUUCACGCAGUGACGGUAUCUAACCAGAAAGUCACGGCUAACUACGUGCCAGCAGCCGCGGUAAUACGUAGGUGGCAAGCGUUAUCCGGAUUUAUUGGGCGUAAAGCGAGCGCAGGCGGUUUGAUAAGUCUGAUGUGAAAGCCUUUGGCUUAACCAAAGAAGUGCAUCGGAAACUGUCAGACUUGAGUGCAGAAGAGGACAGUGGAACUCCAUGUGUAGCGGUGGAAUGCGUAGAUAUAUGGAAGAACACCAGUGGCGAAGGCGGCUGUCUG